Molecule: long non-coding RNA, 1620 nt
Organism: Schistocerca gregaria
Lineage: Eukaryota; Metazoa; Arthropoda; Insecta; Orthoptera; Acrididae
Exons: 3
Source: RefSeq, a predicted model, not a curated record
UUUGGCUUCACUGACUUCUCUUUCUUUGUCCAUUCUGUCAUCAAGCGCGCUAUCGACUUUGCUUUUUUUGCCCUCUCAGCAAAAAAAAUUGUCUUUUCUACGUCGAAACGAAAUUUGAAAAAUGCUUCUGUCAUCCUACCAAAUUCGUAGGCUCUGUAAAGUACCAACUGCACAAUGCCAAACUCAAUCGGGUGGUCUCAUAGCUCGAGGUGGACCAAUUUACAUCGCAUCUCAAUUAUCUCCAUUGACUCUUUCGUUCACUUCUAAAACAAUUGGUACAAUACAUUUUUUUCUUAAUACAUGCAUACAUGUCCCAAUUUAAUUGACCAAAUCCUCUUUUUUAGAUUGCCAACGAAAAGGUACAGCGUACGUGUUUAUUCAAUCUAGUCCUUCGUAAGCCUCUCGGGGGAACCGCCAAGAAUGCAAUAAGGUUAACAGAGAGCGAGAUGCCCUAUUUCUUUAUGUACAACUUCACUCAGGCCCAAUUAACCUGGUUUUUCUGUUCUCUAUUUUGUCUGAAUCUCAAGUUCCCUGCUGCGCUAUUCUCAGUAUACGAAAUAGGUGCUAUGUUUACUUGAUACACAUCUGUGUAUGCGCGUAUUCCGUGCAUCUAUUUUUGUAUGCUUAACGAAACGAUGUCUCCUCUUUCUCCGCGACUUUGCAUUUGGAAAACGUUUCUUGUUGUAGCAAAUUCUAACUCAAAAACUGAUCGUACGAACUAGGCCAAAUUGGUCAUUGUCAUACCCAGGUAUUCUUUUCGUGUAGAUUGAGGACGUUAUCGUCGAGUUCUAGAGGUAACUCCGAUUUGUCCGAAUCUGAUCUGCAAAAAUCAGAAAUUGGACCGGCCAAUUUCCAGUCCAAGUUCAAUGGCAACUCCUCAAACAAUAAACAUUCUUUCGGCUCUUUCUAUGGCAUAAAGAAUCUCUUACGUCGAAAAUCGUCAUCUUUUUGGUGGAGUACAAGACAACCUCGUUCUUUCAACCCCUUUACUACUAAUUUCAAUAGUUUGUUCGACCUCGGCAAUCCCUCGCUGUCUCCCCGGUAUCGCGCUGCGCAGCUGGUCCUGAUCAACACCGAGAAAACCUUCUCCAAGCGUAUAUUCAAGGGCACCUACCUUCUGUUAUGGAAUUCCAGUAUCGCGAUCAGGCCGUUUCCGAAAGACUGCGAACUACCUGAUUUUUGGCAAGCACAACUCGAGCUUGGACGAAUCGACACGAUCCGGGGUUUUCUAACUUACUUCUGUUUUUUGAACUUGAUCUUUGCCGUCAUUUGGAUAUUUGCUAUUUCCAGAUAUCCAAAACACUUUGCACCAAAAGUUUUCAUGCUAGCCACACAAGAAGAAGUUAUUCAAUACUCAGAAGAGUUUCUCAAGGUGUUUGGUGCCAAGGAGACUGAGUCCGUUCCAAAGGAAGUGGCCACCACUCUUCUUGCUCUAAUUGACAGCAACAAAUCGCAAAAAUGCAUCGAAGCAUACAUAGAAAGGUCGACAGAUUCAAGCAAUCCGCAAAACGUAUGCGCUAAAACCCUUGUUAGUAAUAUUCCAUCAUUUUUGAUGGAAACUGACAUUCAGGGAAACUAGGUGCUUUUAAUGCCCGAAGAGAAAUUUGUAUGCGUUAAACA